This 95-nucleotide small nucleolar RNA is filed under the name Triticum dicoccoides. Lineage: Eukaryota; Viridiplantae; Streptophyta; Magnoliopsida; Poales; Poaceae. The record is from RNAcentral.
UUGAUGCAGGUGAGGAGACAAGUCUAUGGGUAAUUUGCGUCUGAGGCAUUUCUAUGAUGUCACACCCUUUUCACCUUGGAGAUCUGAUGCAUCCG